UAUCUAAACGGAGAAAUUCAAUACUGUUCCAUCAAACGAACAGUGUGCACUUUUCUCUUAGUAAGACGUUGUGAUCCAUUAGGAAUCGAUUAUCUUUUGAAUAAUCAAUAGGCUACCAAUAGACUGGUAUUGAAGUUCACUCUGGCAAAUAACACGAUCGUUUAUGGUUUUGUAUAUUGUCUUGUGAGCAUAUCAUGUACUGAUGUAGCUGCCUGAUGGAUUUUAAAGGUCAUAUCAUUGAUGCUUGCAUCACCCAUUGGGAUUUAUAGAUAUGUACCCGAUCAACAACGGUUUCAUUUGGGAUACCUUUGGGACCCGUCUUGAAACACGGACCAAGGAGUCUAUCUAGUAUGCGAGUAAAUGGGCCAUUAUUUUGUAUGAAACCUAUUUGCGUAAAUAACUUGACUGUUUUUAA
Molecule: ribosomal RNA, 415 nt
Filed under: Thienemannimyia carnea
Lineage: Eukaryota; Metazoa; Arthropoda; Insecta; Diptera; Chironomidae
Description: partial 28S ribosomal RNA
Rfam family: Eukaryotic large subunit ribosomal RNA
Source: RNAcentral